Molecule: long non-coding RNA, 2587 nt
Filed under: Triticum aestivum (bread wheat)
Lineage: Eukaryota; Viridiplantae; Streptophyta; Magnoliopsida; Poales; Poaceae
Description: long non-coding RNA (TAES_LNC017623)
Source: RNAcentral
GACAGUUACUGCAGCCAACAGCCAACAUUCUAAAUGAGUAUAAAACAAUGCUAUGAGGUAAUAUAUCCCUCUGUGAUAAUAGUUUAACAUAUGGGCUACUCGUGGUUGCAUGCUAAAUUAUUGCUGGUAUCAACUUUAUUAUUAGUUUAGUGAUUAUUACAAGCAUCUCAAUUUUUCAGUCAAAGGCAUCUAAAAUGUUUCUUGAUUCACGCAUGUAUAUUUCAAAGAGGAAUGCAGCCUUGAGUAAAUGAAUAUUGCAAAGCUUAAUACCAGUCCCAAAAACUUGCUCUGGCCAGAGAAAGAGGCCAAUAUCCGGCGUGGUCUGUUCAAUCUACUACAUGUAAUUUGGUGUUCUAUUGUGCGCACCAUCAGUUUUUGUUGUUGUAUAAGUUCUACUUCAAAUAUGUGUAGCUAGACCCCGUCGAAGUGAUCUUUUUGUUUCUCGUCUCAUGUAACUGAAGAAAAUGAGAGAAGGUAUUGGACACUGGUCAUGUAUGUAGUCGGCAGAGCUGUUUUAUGCAAUGCCUAUUGUCACAAUAGCAUAUAUGUCUAUACGGGGAGGAGACCAAGAGAGUACAUCAGAAGCCAUUGAUUUGCCAUGGAAUAUUAAAAACUUUCAGAUGACCUGUUCAUAUGAUGGUAUCCACAAGAAACUUCAUAUCCUGUAUGUUUUAGCAUGCUCCACACAAAUAUAUUAAUUAAUUUGUGUAGGUAUGCUUCUCCUUCUUUCAGUUCCUGAAUAAUUAUACCACCAUCUGUGUGGAGUAUCUUGUAGUGCUCCACACAAAUAGAUAAAUUAUUUUUUAUGAGUAUGCUUCUCCUUUUAUCAGCUCCUGAAGAAUUAUACUGAUGUCGUGUGCUUUAUUUGCAAGAUUUAUAUGACUUAAACAAGAACUUGUUAAAUAAUAUGAGUGCAUAUAAGUAGAUUGAUCUUGCCUCUUAUGUAGUCUGGUAGAUUUGGAAAGAAAGGAAUUGCAGAUUUUGUCUGGACAAAGAGAUGAAGCCAGAAAGGUAAAUGUCUCAAGUUCUACAGAAUGUUCGCCUCAUAUUGGAGGCAUUUGAAACAAGCCUUUGCUACUGUACAUCCAAGCUGGGUUCUUGAUGUUAAUUUCAUUUAUACGCAUAGUAAUAAAUUUUGCCCCUGGCUUCCUAAGCAUAUACUUUGUUCCUGGCUAGGAAUAAUUUCCGAACAGUUUUACAAAUGGUGAAAAAGAAAGGGUUUUGUUUACUAUUUUUUAUGACCGUGGACUCAUGAGUUCAUAACAUAUAAUGUAUUAUUUGUGUUCAUUCCUUUAAUGUGGAUUAUAACAUGAUCUACCUUUGCAUAAACAUCGAUGACUACUUUUGGUUCAUAUUCAUGCAUCCACUUCUCGAUAUUGAGAUUUUUCACAUAUACUGAACUUGUCUUAGUCAGCCCAACUCAGCUGUAUGUGUGACAUUUAUAAGAUGACUCCGUAAAAUUCAUAGAAGACACUAUUCUUUUAUUCUGUUCUUUUGUUUCUUCCAGAUUUUGCUCUCCUCGCUUAUACUUCGAUAUUGUUAAUUUGAUUAGAUGACUCGGUCGAUGAUGUUGGGCAUGUCCAUGGUAUCCAUUAAAAAACUUUAAAAAAAAGUCUUGCACCGGAAUAAAAUUAGAUAGCACACCACUUAUGAGUCGAAACAUAUGCAAGCCAAGCCGGUACCAUAAAAUUAGUAGAUUAGGUCCAUUCCAGCCGCUAAUUCUUUGUGCCAAUGCUAAGUAUGUGAUGAUCUUUCCACAAAAAAUCAAGUUUGUAUAGAGUGACCAAUGCUAAGUAUGUGAUAAGCUUGCACUGACUUUUAGUUACAUCUGAUGAUCUUUCCACAAAAAAUGUAUUAUAGAGUGUAAUAUUUACAGUGUGGGGAUGUUGGUGGCCAAGAAAGUUUAUGCCCUUGUGAAGACAUUACUAUGAAGUCCUAAGUUAUCCUGUAAAAAGGAUUCUUAUGAUACGCAUGUAAAUCAACUUCUGAACUUUUAUGUAGAUAUUUAAGUGCCAAUACCAUCUUUUGGUAUAACACAAAAAAAUCAAGUUUUGAGGCCAGAGAUUUACCUUACUUUUGCAUAAGGUUUUGUUGUAAUUCGUUACCAAGAUGGGUAGCACUGUAUAGUUUCCUAGCAGCAUCAUUUGGCCAGCUUCUUAGAUUUUAUCUGCAUGAAUAGUAGAUUUUCUCAUUUUGAUUUAGAACAUUGUAAAUGUUCACCUCAGCUGCCAGAUUAACAUAAUGGAACGUCGUCAGGUGUAUUUGAAGGUUGCCAGUUUAGGUGGGCCAAACAACCAGUGCGCUGAGGUCAAAAUAAGCAUGACACCAGUUUGAUUCUUUUAGGGGUCGCCUACAUGAUGAAAGAUGCUCAGGCACACAUCAUUGUUGGGUUUUCGCAUGUCAUGUCAUACUUGGUCUGUAACUGAAUCUUGAGAAUUCAUUUGUAUGACUUGAUGUACAGACGUGUUAUUCAUAAUGAAAAUAAUAUCAUUGUAUGUGCUUAAAAUAUUAUGUCAUAACUCUGUAAAAAAUGGCAUCUUCUACUAGAUAAAGAAGUGAUAAUGGUAAAAAAAAAAAUCUUUGGGCA